Long non-coding RNA from Amphiprion ocellaris (clown anemonefish), 1555 nucleotides. The record is from Ensembl. NCBI's taxonomy places the organism in Eukaryota, Metazoa, Chordata, Actinopteri, Pomacentridae.
AUUUCUUCUCAUCAUAUCCCAUCAAAGCUGAUCUUUUCAACUAUGGACGAGGGCCUUCUAGCUCUGCUAAGCUCCAAUCUGAUGCUGCUCUGUUGGCUUUUUUCAUCAUUUUGGGUUCAGCGUCCUGAGAGACGGUUAGGUCUGGCUUUAGGUGGGUGAUACUGCUGCAGUUUCACCAAAGCAGAGAAGAGCAGCCUCAGUCAUAGGAGACUAACUGCCCACUUCUGCUCCGAGUAGAUGAAAUAAAAUGGUGAUCAAGAGCACACAGACUGGGCUAGAGGUGCACCAGUUUCAGCCAACAGCAUAUUUCAAAAGCAAUACUGGAAUUGGUCUAAUAUUACGUCUGCCCACAUGUAGCUGAUGUGUUUUCCUGUAGAAGUAGACGGUUUAAAACUGUUACACUAGCAGCAAAUGUAUCACGGUCCGUUAAAAAUAUGUAUUUAAUUAGCUUGAGGUGGAGACAUCUUAAAAGCAUAACCAGUUUUGCAUAUGCAUUUGUACUAAGAUUUAGAGAAAAAAAAAGACAUAUCAUUACAUCAGGCAACAGGCGGAAUUAUACAGCAGAUUGGUACCAUAUCAGUGCAUCACUACAUCUUAGGGUCUGUUGGACUCGUGGUUUAGUUCUCUCUGAUCCUGAGGUUAGUCACAACCCAAAGGAAGCCCAAACUAUUCUACAGAGUUGGAACAAGAUGUGUUUGACCUCUGGUAUUCUAGUAGUGAUCUAGUACUAUUGCUGGUAAUUUAGUACUGUACACAGUGACAACAACUGCCUAGAUCCAGUAUUAGUGUUUAGUCAAACUGUGUUCAAAUUUACAUGGAGUUAAAAAAAAAAAAAAAAGAAAAGAAAACAAGCACAGACAGACUGAGCUUUUUAAAUGUGUUUUUACAAGUGGGGCUAAAGACACUGACUUCAUAUUUACAGCAUAAAGUCCGACAUUUAGAAUCUAUUGAAGUCUACAAGAGGAGCAUGACAUAGGUAAUGGCAGAGGUGAGGCUCCCUGUAUUUUGUUGCUGAGGACAUUGAUUAAACGUGGUUAAUUUCCUGCUUCCCUGUUUUGAAAACAGGUUGUUUUGUGUCAAGCUGCACUUUAAAAUGACACGGUUUGAAAUAUUAUGUAAGCAUAUAUUCCGCUCAAAGUGUCAAAGGAUGGCAUUUUUAUUUACAAACAGCAAAAACAGGUCUGUGGUUGUGUUUGUCUCUCUCUUUCUCUGUUAUGUACUCUCCUUUGAUUGUCUUUUUUCUGGGCUCAGUCAGUUUUUUCCUCUCACUCUUUGCUUUGCCCUCCUAUGCCACCUGUCGUUGUUGAGACUACUGCUGUGCGUAUCUUGUCAGGUGUUGGAUAUUAUUUAUGACCUUGUCUUGUGUCCCGACUGUGAAACGCCUGAUAAAACAUCUAUAUCUGCCACAAAUACACAAUCUGUGAGGCUCUCUUCUUCACCCGCCUUGUAAUCACUCGUAAGAUAGUGGCUCGUACACGUACCGAGCUUCAGGGGUAGAUUCAGCUCCAAAAAUGCAGUCUUUUGUCAUAUGCAUGUUCACACCCAAGUAGUGAAC